UCGGAUAUGGUGUAACAGCUAACAUUACCGCCUUUCAUGUGCAAUGACCGACUUUACGGCGUAGCUUGGGGUUCGAUUCCCCGUAUCCGAA
Molecule: non-coding RNA, 91 nt
Organism: Guyanagaster necrorhizus
Lineage: Eukaryota; Fungi; Basidiomycota; Agaricomycetes; Agaricales; Physalacriaceae
Source: the annotation of a RefSeq genome assembly